Molecule: long non-coding RNA, 4756 nt
Organism: Anolis carolinensis (green anole)
Lineage: Eukaryota; Metazoa; Chordata; Lepidosauria; Squamata; Anolidae
Exons: 3
Source: RefSeq, a predicted model, not a curated record
UCUAGUCUCAGAAUGCAGGUUCACUGCAUUGGGUUAUAUGGCAGCGUAGACUCAUAUAUGCCAGUUCAACCUGCAUUAUAGGAGUCUGCACUGACCAUGGUGAUGCAGUCCAUUGUAGGGCAGAGUAAAAGGUAAAGGUAAAGGUUUCCCCGGACAUUAAAUCCAGUCAUGGGGGUUGGUGCUCAUCUCCAUUUCUAAGCCGAAGAGCCGGCGUUGUCCGUAGAUACCUCCAAGGUCAUGAUUGCAUGGAACGCCGUUACCCUCCCACCGGAAGGUAUUGAUUGACUCACAUUUACAUGUUUUCAAACUGCUAGGUUGGCAGAAGCUGGAACUAACAGCGGGUGCUCACUUCGUUCCCGGGAUUUGAACCUGUGACCUUUCAGUCUGCAAGUUCAGCAGCUCAGCGCUUUAACACACUGAGCCACCAGAGGCUCAGUAGAAGGAGCCUAAUCAAGCCACCUGUAAAGGCCUCUUCCUCUUUUGUCUCUUCCACUGUGUCAUGUUGUCUCAGGAUACCUCCUGGUGAGGUGGUUUGAGCAUUGGAUUUUGUCUUUGGAUAAGGUAAAGGUAAAAGUUUUCCCCUGACAUUAAGUCUAGUCAUGUCAGACUCUGAGGGUUGGUGCUCAUCUCCAUUUCUGAGAUGGAGUGAAUAUUAUGAUAGUAAAGGUAAAGGUUUUCCCCUGACAUUAAGUCUAGUUGGUGCUCAUCUCCAUUUCUAAGCCGAAGAGCCGGCAUCGUCCGUAGACAUCUCCAAGGUCAUGUGGCCGGCAUGACUGCAUGGAGUGUCGUUACCUUCCCGCCAGAGCUGUACCUAUUGAUUUACUCACAUUUACAUUUUUUCAAACCGCUAGGUUGGCAGAAGCUGGGGCUAAUGGCGGGCGCUCACCCCACUCCCUGGAUUCCAACUGCCAACCUUUCAGUCAGCAAGUUCAGCCGCUCAGCGGUUUAACCCACUGGGCAACCAGGGGCUCCUACAAGGCUUCAAAUCCCCACUUGACUAUAGAAAGACACCUUUGAUGACUUUGGACGAGUCACACUUUCUCAGGCUCAGAGGAACGCAAUGGAAAACCUGCUCUGGACAAAUCUUGGCAAGAAAACCCUGAGAUAGGUUCACCUUAGGCUAGGGUUGGAAAAGACAUGAAGGCAUACAACAACAACAACAACAACAACAACAUAGAGGCUGUUGUCCAACAGAGGCAACCCUCCCUGAAGAAAUCUUGUCAAGAAAAUUCUGUGAUGACAAGUUUUUCUUAGAGCAUCAUCAGUUGGAAAUAACUUGAAGGAACAUAGCAGCCUGUACUGCGUUGUGUUGACUUGUGAUGAAAAUUUGGACUCUCUGGACCUUUUAUUUAUCUUUUUGGGGAACCAUGGUAUCCACAGAACGUUCCUCCAGCACCAUCAUUCAGAUCAUUGAUCUCCUUGCCCUGCCAGCUUUCUUCAACAUCCAAUUUUCGUAUUUAUAGAGAGAUACUGAAAUUUUAUAUGGUACGGACAGUCCCACCUGAGAGGUGUAAAGGUUCGAGUGUUUUACUGGGGCUUUGGGAGACUAGGUUUUGAAUCCUUACCUUGCUAUGGAAACCCACCGUCUCUCAGCUUCAGAGGAAGGUAAUGGCAAACCACCUUGAAAUAAAUACUACUCAAGAAAGCCCUAGGAUAGGGUUUCUAUAAGUUGGAGAUGAACUUGAAGGCAUAUGACAACUGCAAAUCAGUCACAGCUUUACACUUGAGGAUCAUGUCUAGUUCCUUCAUGAUCCUCUUCCGACUCAUAGUCUCCUUUGGAAUUCUUAACAAUGGCCUGCCUUUCAGUUAAUGACCAAGCUAAGGUUUGAACUCCACUGCAUGUCUAUGUACUAAACAAGAGAGGAAAAUGCAAAUAGCAUGGAAUCGGGAGAAGUGAAAGUAGUCAGACCCAGCAUUUGGCAAGAGGAACUCCACCGUGUUCCUGUGGUCCACCUUACACGUCUCUUAGAGCUGUGACAUGUUCCCAUCUGGAUGGCCUCCUGUGCUGUAGUCAGUGUUUCUGCAUAUGCCUUCAUGCCACCUGUUGAUAUAUGGCAACCCCAUGAAUUUUGUAAGGUUUUCUUAGAGAAGAAAUACUCAGAGGUGCUUUGUCAAAUGAAAAUUCCACUAGGCACACUGCAAACUGCUGUACUUUCUGUCUAUCAUAGCUUGAACAACACAUUGUGUUGUCAUAGCAGCAAGUGGAUAACAAGCUCAGACUCAGGUCUCAGAAAGUUUGCUGAUUCCUGACACCAGCCUAUGUUGGUUAGGGGAUUCUACAAGUUGGAAUUGCCGCAAAAUAUUUUAAUGAACUCUGUUUCAUUAAAUGCAUACAAGCCUACACCAGUGUUGUAUAUUGGCUUACUUCAGAUGUGCAGAUAUAUGCAUGUUUGGUUUGCAGAAAGAGACAGAAGCAGCUCCUGAUGGGUUGCCAUGUCACUGAGAGAGAGGUCCAACAUGGAUGUGCAUAUUCACCUGGAAAACAUUGGAAAGGUGCCAUGACUUUUGUGGCAUGAGUGGAAAUCCCAACAUGCCACACGUGGUUCAUGAGCCACAUGAUCACUACCUCUGAAUAGAUGAGAAGGAACUGUGAUUCUUUUCCUUUUACCUCCAAAUUUGGGUGGAAGCGAAUGACAUUCAUCUCAGUGAGAUUGUGAAUUUGUUCUGGGCUUUAGCAUGUAUUUUUAAAGGAGCUAUUCAAGGUGUUGAAUUUGUUUUGAGAAUAGGUCUCAGCAUUUUGGAAAACUCUCUUUAAUUUGGGAUCCAAUUCCUUAGUGAAUUCAGUGCUCUACUGAUGUGAAAGCUAGCAGCUGCCACGGUUGAUAUCAAAAUGGGACAAUGUUUGCAUUGUAAAGAUAAGGUCGUUGGUCAUACCACUGUGUCUCUUUGCCAAUGAUGCUGCAUGGUAAACUCACUUGUUCUCCAUUUGUUUUCCGCUAUUCAGUUUGCUUGGUUGCCAAGCAACGUGCAUUGCUAGGUAUUUACAUUAGCCAUUAGCGCAUGGCAUGAUUUUCUCAGUUUAUGCUUAAAAACAAGCAUGGACUUGAAAAUGUUUUUUAUGGCCAUGGACCUGAAGAUAUGUCAGGUUCUCAGAGAGUGAAGUCAUUUGCACACUCUCUCUUUCACACACACAGACAUAUACAUACAUACAUACAUACAUACAUACAUACAUACAUACAUAUAGAGGAACACACUAGCAGACAUGCUCCCCAAUUAUGUGCAAUUUGUGUUGCAAUCUAUUUUAUGGCAUUUCUUCUGGUCAUUCUCUUCAUUGCAUUCCACAGUCAGACUUGUCUCAUCAAAGCAAUAUAAAGUGAAAAUAUGCAGGCUACAAGUAGCUUAAUUGUUUCUCUUCAAACUUUAUGCACAACAGCUAUUUAUGGUAUGCCACCAUCAUUUGGGAGAUCAUUUAAUAUACAUUUAUCCACAAUUAUCUUCACUUCAUAUUGAAAUUGAUGAACACGUAUUUUAUGUUUGAACUGCAUUGGUUUGAAAGGUAAAGGUUUCCCCUGACAUUAAGUCUAUUCGUGUCCUAUUCUAGGGGUUGGUGCUCGUCUCCAUUUCUAAGCCGAAGAGCCGGUGUUGUCCGUAGACAUCUCCAAGAUCAUGUGGCCAGCAUGACUGUAUGGAGUACCUAUUGAUCUACUCAUAUUUUCAUGUUUCCGAACUCCUAGGUUGGCAGAAGCUGGGGCUAACAGCGGGAGCUCACCCCGCUCCCAGAUUCGAACCACCGACCUUUCAGUCAGCAAGUUCAGCAGCUCAGUGGUUUAACACUUUAUAUAUAUUAUAAAUUGCAUAGAAUUUCCCCAAAUGAGUUUUUCAGCUGGUAUAAUAGAACAGGCAAAGCUAGUUGCACUGUCACAAUUCUUCCUCUAGUAUCUCUCCUUUAGCGUCUUUCCUAUUCAUUCAAACAGACAGGCACUCCAAAUCUCUCAAUCUUUGGAAAGUCCAGGGUGAUCUGUAAACCAAUUUGAAAAUUGGAAAAAGGGUUUUUUUUUUCCGUUCCUGGGAACUCUCCCCAGUGAGAUUAGAUCAGCACCCUCUCUCCUGAUCUUCAAGGGAAAAAAACAAAAGUUGUGGUUGUGAGACCAGGCUUUUGGCCAGUAAUGCAAUGCAAAGAAUAAUCAGGAAAUAUGUGCUAUGACAAUUGGAAUGGCCACGGUGUACGAUUUUGGGAUCAUGUGAUUUUAAUAUUUAUAUUAGGAUGUUUUUAAUUUUUGUCUUAGAGCUUACAUGCUGUAUAUGCCUAUGUUUAAUGGUUUUAAUGAUUUUAAUUUAUAGUUAUAUGUUAGUGUUUAGUUAUUGUGAUAUUAUUGUAUUAUAUGUAUGCUGGCAUUAAAUUCUUAUGCACUUUUACGCAUCAGCCCUAUCCUCAAAAUUGAUUUGCACCAGUCCGCCCACCCAUGCCCAGAAAUUGAUUUUUAUUUCAGGCUUAUUGGUUGUUGGUUUGAUAGUUGCCUUUUUAUUUUAUUUUAUAAUUGUUGUUGUUCUAUUCUGUUUUAUAAUAUUGUUUAUGUAUUUUAGUGUGUUAUAUGUUAACUAUGUUGAUCGGGCUUGUCCCCAAGUAAACCGCCCAAAUCUCUCUGGGGAGAUGGAGGCAGGGUACAAAAAUAAAGUUGUUGUUGUUGUUGUUGUUAUGUUAUUAUUCUUGUCAUUAAUAUGUUGUAAACCUCCUUGAGUCCCCCCCAGGGGUGAGAAAGGCGAUAUAUAAAUAUACUAAAUAAAUGAAAUAAAUAAUACAUUCCUCGAUUCUUUA